Molecule: non-coding RNA, 101 nt
Filed under: Lutibacter sp.
Lineage: Bacteria; Pseudomonadati; Bacteroidota; Flavobacteriia; Flavobacteriales; Flavobacteriaceae
Description: SAM-I sequence
Rfam family: SAM riboswitch aptamer (S box leader)
About the family: The SAM riboswitch is found upstream of a number of genes which code for proteins involved in methionine or cysteine biosynthesis in Gram-positive bacteria. The SAM riboswitch acts at the level of transcription termination control. The predicted structure consists of a complex stem-loop region followed by a single stem loop terminator region.
Source: RNAcentral
UUGUUAUUAAGAAAGGCAGAGGGAUUAGACCCGUUGAAGCCUUAGCAACCCUUUGCCCUGCAAAGAAGGUGCUAAAUUCUACCAAAUUGGAUAGAUAACAA